GAGGAAUAUUGGGCAAUGCCCGCAAGGGUGACCCAGCAACGCCGCGUGGAGGAUGAAGGUCGUAAGAUUGUAAACUCCUGUUAGAGGGGACGAAUGAUUAUAAUUCGUAAGGGUUAUGAUUUGACUGUACCCUCAGAGAAAGCCCCGGCUAACUACGUGCCAGCAGCCGCGGUAAUACGUAGGGGGCAAGCGUUGUCCGGAUUUACUGGGUGUAAAGGGCGCGCAGGCGGAUUUUCAAGUCAGUGGUGAAAUCUCUCGGCUUAACCGGGAAGCUGCCAUUGAUACUGUUGAUCUUGAGUAAGGAAGAGAGAGACAGAAUUCCAGGUGUAGUGGUCAAAUACGUAGAUAUCUGGAAGAACACCAGUUGCGAAGGCGGUCUCUUGGUCCUAUACUGACGCUGAGGCGCGAAAGCGUGGGGAGCAAAC
Molecule: ribosomal RNA, 425 nt
Filed under: uncultured bacterium
Lineage: Bacteria
Description: bacterial SSU rRNA
Rfam family: Bacterial small subunit ribosomal RNA
Source: RNAcentral